AUGAACCUAGACCUUGUUUCUAAGCAUCGAGACAUUGUUUUUACUCAGUUUUGUUACUUACUACCUUGUUGUUUUUAUUAUUUCAGAUUACAAAAUCAUAUUUCUACCAUCCAUAUUACACUUACUGACGACGCUCAUCAGUCAAUCGUGCAACCCCCCGUGUCCACUUCGAAAUGCUUGAUGAGAUCUAGCAGGUUGCCAAGCGAUGACCCGCCCUCUUGUACGGCUGCCCUGGCCUUCUCCGAGAGCACCAGCGCCUUCCUCCUCCUCUCCUCCCCCUCUCCUCCUCCGUCCAUAAUGCUCCUGACGGCCGCCUCCACUACCUCUCUCCCCACCACGACCCCCUUCUUCGCUACCCACAGCAACGGCUCCUUAAUCCCAACGCUGACGCCGAUUCCCAGCACCUCCACGGCCAGCUUCUCGUUCAGAAACUGGUCCGAGAAGUGCGGCCAUGUCACCACCGGCAGCCCGGCCGUGAUCGCCUCCAACGUCGAGUUCCACCCGCAGUGCGUCACGAAGCCGCCCACCGCCACGUGGUUCAAAAUAAGCACCUGUGGCGACCACCCUCUGAUCAGCAUCCCGCGGCCGGCCACGCGCUCCUCGAGGUCCCGCAGGAACUCGCGCACGUCCUCGCCGUACUGGUCGGGGUUCUUCAGAACCCAGACGAACGGGUGCCCCGACGCCUCAAGCCCGAACCCGAGCUCGACGGUCUGCUUCGGGUCGGCAUGCACGAUGCUUCCGAAGCUGACGUAG
Molecule: ribosomal RNA, 753 nt
Filed under: Triticum aestivum (bread wheat)
Lineage: Eukaryota; Viridiplantae; Streptophyta; Magnoliopsida; Poales; Poaceae
Description: partial small subunit ribosomal RNA
Source: RNAcentral